RNAcentral lists this long non-coding RNA (522 nucleotides) under Oryctolagus cuniculus (rabbit). RNAcentral's name for it is "lncRNA (ENSOCUG00000030821.1)". Lineage: Eukaryota; Metazoa; Chordata; Mammalia; Lagomorpha; Leporidae. The record is from RNAcentral.
AUGUUUCUUUUUCUACACCAGAGUAUUGUUACGCCCCAGUCAGUGGUUUGUGUUCUGCUUAAACCCCAGGUCCGAUUUAGGCCUAUCCCACGGUAUUUGGUAGGAUUAACGUUUCAUGCAGUGCUAUUGAGGAACCGUUGCCCUCUGCUUUCACUUACCUUAGUCCCAGGUGCUGGCGAAACGCUGCCUGAGCGGAGUGUCAGGUUGACGCAGGCAAAACAUGACUUGUUGUGCCUGUCAGUCCUUCGCCCAGCUCCUGGUUUAUUUUAUUCUUUAUUCUCAUCGCUAUGUUUGCGGCUUCUCCAAGGAGCAGUGCGUGCCGGCAGCGCAAGAGUGUUUCACGGUGAACCCUGGGCUGGGCGCUUCAGCCUUUUGCUGUGGUGCAGCUGCCGUAACCCCACAGGCCCAGGGACGACCCCUGUAGAGCAGCCCGUGCCAUUAUUCAGGGAGGCGGCUAACCCCGUUCACACGUGGGGCCAUGGUUCCCAGGAGGCAUUGCUCCCUUUAGCAACACCUCUCUGA